RNAcentral lists this ribosomal RNA (1797 nucleotides) under Arcyria denudata. RNAcentral's name for it is "SSU rRNA". It matches the Rfam family "Eukaryotic small subunit ribosomal RNA", at positions 26 to 1647 of the family's 1831-position model. The record is from RNAcentral. Lineage: Eukaryota; Evosea; Eumycetozoa; Trichiida; Trichiidae.
AUAUGCUUGUUCCAAAGAUUAAGCCAUGCAUGCUAAAGAUAAUUUGACGAGACUCUCUUGAAAUCUGCGAACGGCUCCGUAUAUCUGUUAAAACCCGUCGCCCGUGAGAAAGGUUGGUAAGCGGAUAUCGCUCGGUAAUUCUGUCAGUAAUACGUGUACGUGCAUCGUGCAAGAGAUUAGGCUCUAUAACGGCCCGUGACAAGCCAAGACGCAGCAAGAUAUGCGGGCUCCGCAACGCCCAGCUCCGAGGAGUUAGGAUACCGGCGAGAAGCGAACUGAUACCAAGGGAUACGGAGGCGGCGGUUUUCAGACCUAUCAACUAUAAGCCUGUGGAGGGGACAGGCCUGGUUUUAACGGGUACAGAGGAUCAGGGUUCGGUCCUGGAGAGGUAGCCUGAGAGAUCGCUACUACUUCUAAGGAAGGCAGCAGGCGCGCAACGUUCCCAAUGGGGGCAGAGGCUCCCUGAGGACGUGACGGAACAUAGCAAUGCCCCGCCCGAAGGGCUGGGGUAAUCGCAAUGGGGGGAAUCUAAACCCCACGGCCGAGUAACAAUUGGAGGACAAGUCUGGUGCCAGCACCCGCGGUAAUUCCAGCUCCGAUAGCAUCUAAUUAAGUUGUUGCAGUUAAAACGCUCGUAGUUCGAAUACAGGCCGGCGCAUCGCGGCGCUCUGGACACAGUGUGGCUCUGCCGCGCGCCGUCCUUAAACACGCGUGCCCGCGCCAGAUAGUGGCUCCGGUCCGGCCCACCUUGCUGUCUAAUAGACCGGGGCACUUCACCUUGAGGAAAUGCGAGAGCUCAAAUCAGGUCCUUGACCCGUUGUGAAGCCUGUAGCAAGGAACGAUAGAACAAGCCUCUGAGGCUAUGGUACGCUGCAGAGAUAUGGUCAAUAGGGGGGAUCGGGGUCGGCCAGAUGGCGGGGGUAGGGGUGAAAUCCGAUGAUCCUCGCCAGCUGAACUAAAGCGAAAGCAGCCGACAAGUACCCUUUCUUUGAUCAAGAACGAAAGUCUGGGGAUCGAAGAUGAUCAGAUACCAUCGUAGUCCAGACCCUAAAUGCUGCCGACCAUGGAUGGGCUUAAGUCCAUCCCGACCCGGUCCGGACCUUGUGGGAAACCAUCAAGUGUUUGGGCUCCGGGGGGAGUAUGGUCGCAAGACUGAAACUUAAAGGAAUUGACGGAAGAGCACACAAGGAGUGGAGCCUGCGGCUUAAUUUGACUCAACACGGGAAAACUCACAUUGGCAGGAGAGGGGUAGGAUGCCCGGUUUCAAUCGCUUGGCAAGAUUCCCUCAGUGGUGGUGCAUGGUCGUUCUUAGUUCGUGGAGUGAUUUGUCUGGUCUAUUCCGCUAACGAGCAAGAUCCCUUCCUCUGGAUGUUGCCACGUAUGUGCGCGUGAGCGGUGGAACGCGGUGGGUGAAACGUGCCGCAAGGCGCAUGGAACUAGCCCGGUCCCUGCCCCGCAUUCAGUGCAACACGAGUGGCCGCUACGGCGCGUUACUCGCUAAACUCUCAAUACAUAUGCUGUGGUCGAAAGACCAAACCCGGGCCUGCAGGGCACACCUGCUUUCAAGCAGGUAAAACGGGUCAAUAACAGGUCAGUGAUGCCCUUAGAUGCCUUUGGCUGCACGCGCGCUACAAUGGGGUGAGCAACGGGUCACGGCACCUAACGGUGCCUGGGGGCCGCAAGGCCCUAGUUCGUGAACCCGCUCAAUACUCCUCUUAACUGGGACUGCACCAAGUAUUUUGGUACGCGCGAACGUGGAAUUUCUAGUACCCGCCGUUCAUCAGACGGUGUGGAUUC